UACGUAGGUGGCAAGCGUUGUCCGGAUUUACUGGGCGUAAAGAGCGCGCAGGCGGUCGUACAAGUCGCGUGUGAAAGCCCCCGGCUCAACUGGGGAGGGUCACGCGAUACUGUUCGACUCGAAGGCAGGAGAGGGAAGCAGAAUUCCUGGUGUAGCGGUGAAAUGCGCAGAUAUCAGGAGGAACACCGGUGGCGAAGGCGGUUCUCUGGGCAUUACCUGACGCUGAGGAGCGAAAGUGUGGGGAGCGAACAGG
RNAcentral lists this ribosomal RNA (253 nucleotides) under uncultured bacterium. RNAcentral describes it as "partial 16S ribosomal RNA". It matches the Rfam family "Bacterial small subunit ribosomal RNA", at positions 524 to 776 of the family's 1533-position model. The record is from RNAcentral.